GACGAACGCUGGCGGCGUGCUUAACACAUGCAAGUCGAACGGAAAGGCCCUGCUUUUGUGGGGUGCUCGAGUGGCGAACGGGUGAGUAACACGUGAGUAACCUGCCCUUGACUUUGGGAUAACUUCAGGAAACUGGGGCUAAUACCGGAUAGGAGCUCCUGCUGCAUGGUGGGGGUUGGAAAGUUUCGGCGGUUGGUGAUGGACUCGCGGCUUAUCAGCUUGUUGGUGGGGUAGUGGCUUACCAAGGCUUUGACGGGUAGCCGGCCUGAGAGGGUGACCGGCCACAUUGGGACUGAGAUACGGCCCAGACUCCUACGGGAGGCAGCAGUGGGGAAUAUUGCACAAUGGGCGGAAGCCUGAUGCAGCAACGCCGCGGGCGGGAUGACGGCCUUCGGGUUGUAAACCGCUUUCGCCUGUGACGAAGCGUGAGUGACGGUAAUGGGUAAAGAAGCACCGGCUAACUACGUG
RNAcentral lists this ribosomal RNA (468 nucleotides) under uncultured bacterium. RNAcentral's name for it is "partial 16S ribosomal RNA". It matches the Rfam family "Bacterial small subunit ribosomal RNA", at positions 28 to 507 of the family's 1533-position model. The record is from RNAcentral.